CAAGAAGAGACCCUAACCGGUCCUCUCAACCCUGCCCAUCGUACCUUUUUUGUUGUUCCCUCGGCGGUGCUCGCGGGCCCGCCGGCGGGAAGACCAAACAAACCCUUUGCAAACAAGCAUAUCGAGUCUCUGAUCAAACAUGAAUUGUCA
Molecule: unclassified non-coding RNA, 150 nt
Filed under: soil metagenome
Description: partial internal transcribed spacer 1
Source: RNAcentral